GAUGCUGACAGGCGAGCACAUUUGACGUGUCCUUUAAAUUCUCCUCCUUUCUCAUCACCUGCGCUAAUAAAUUUAUAAAAGAAAAAAAGGAAAAGAAAAUCGGAGGGCAGGUGGUGCAGCGUGGACUGAGAGUGAGAUUCUCACUGGAAAUGAAGAUGGAUGGAAUUAGAUCUAUGCUCCUUGUUUGUAUAAUCUUACUGUUGGUCGCAAAAGGCACAGUCGGAAGUCGUAAGAGUGGAAAGUCUUCUCUGUCUUCGGUUUUUUCUUUGUUCAAUCUUAAAGAAAAGAGUAGGUUUUGGAGUGAGGCUAUUAUACGUGAAGAUUUCCAUGAUUUAGAAACCACCAGCCCUGCUUCGAUGGGUGUUCACAACUACACCAAGGCAGGUAACAUUGCAAAUUACCUAAACCUUAUGGAAGUAGAGUCUUUGUACCUUCCAGUUCCUGUCAAUUUCAUUUUUAUAGGAUUUGAAGGAAAAGGGAACCAAGAGUUCAAGCUUCAUCCUGAAGAACUAGAGCGAUGGUUCACCAAAAUCGAUCACAUCUUUGCACAUACACGAGUUCCGCGAAUUGGAGAGCUCCUCACACCUUUUUACAAAAUUAGCAUAGAUAAAAUGCAACAUCACCAUCUUCCCAUCACCAGUCAUAUAAAUUACAAUUUCUCUGUCCAUGCCAUACAAAUGGGUGAAAAGGUGACUUCUAUCUUUGAGCAUGCCAUCAAUGUUUUAGCCCGCAGAGAUGAUGUAUCAGGUGACAGGGAUGGAACUGAUUCUCUUUGGCAAGUAGAUGCAGACAUGAUGGAUGUUCUUUUCACCAGCCUUGUUGAAUACCUGCAGCUUGAAGAUGCAUAUAACAUCUUCAUUUUGAAUCCCCAUCCUGAUGCAAAAAGAGCUAAAUACGGCUACAGGAGAGGUUUAUCUGAGUCAGAAAUAGCUUUUCUGAAAGAGGAUAAGAGUCUGCAAAGUAAAAUUCUUCAGUCGGGGCGUAUUCCAGAAAGUGUUCUUGCUCUUGAUAAGAUUAAGAAACCUUUAUAUGGAAAGCAUCCUAUGGCAAAGUUUGCAUGGACAGUUACAGAAGAAACUGAUACGGUGGAAUGGUACAAUAUUUGCUUAGAUGCACUGACCAAUGUUGAGAAGUUGUAUCAAGGAAAGGACACAGCUGAAACCAUUCAGAGUAAAGUUUUGCAGUUAUUAAACGGGAAGAAUGAAGAUAUGAAGCUUCUUCUUGAAAGGGAAUUAAGGUCUGGGGAGUUCAGUGACCACCAUGCAGAAUGUCUAACAGAUACAUGGAUUGGAAAGGACAGCAGGUGGGCUUUUAUCGAUUUGACUGCUGGACCUUUUUCGUGGGGACCUGCUGUUGGUGGAGAAGGUGUGCGAACAGAAUUAAGUUUGCCAAAUGUGGGAAAGACCAUAGGUGCUGUUGAAGAAAUUUCUGAAGAUGAAGCUGAAGAUCGCUUGCAAGAUGCAAUUCAGGAAAAGUUUGCUGUAUUUGGUGAUAAAGAUCAUCAGGCAAUUGAUAUUCUUCUAGCGGAGAUUGAUAUCUAUGAGCUUUUUGCUUUCAAGCAUUGCAAAGGAAGGAGGGUCAAGCUUGCUCUUUGUGAAGAGCUUGAUGAGAGAAUGCGGGAUUUAAAAGAUGAACUUCAGUCAUUUGAAGGUGAAGAGUAUGAUGAAAACCACCGGAGGAAGGCUAUAGAUGCUUUAAAACGAAUGGAGAACUGGAAUUUGUUCAGUGAUACUCAUGAGGAUUUCCAAAACUACACAGUUGCUCGGGAUACUUUCCUUGCGCACCUUGGUGCGACCCUGUGGGGAUCUGUGAGACACAUCAUAUCUCCUUCAGUUGCUGAUGGUGCUUUCCAUUAUUAUGAGAAGAUUUCGUACCAAUUGUUUUUCAUCACGCAAGAGAAAGUUCGACAUAUUAAACAAUUGCCAGUGGACCUAAAGGCUCUCCAGGAUGGGCUUUCCUCUUUGUUGAUACCUUCACAGAAAGUCAUGUUCAGUCAGGAUGUGUUAUCACUUUCAGAGGAUCCUGCUUUGGCAAUGGCAUUUUCUGUGGCACGACGAGCAGCAGCUGUCCCACUUUUGCUUGUCAAUGGAACAUAUAGGAAAACUAUUCGUUCCUAUCUUGAUUCUUCAAUUCUCCAGUAUCAGUUGCAGAGGCUGAAUAAUCAUGGAUCUCUCAAAGGAUCACAUGCUCAUAGCCGGUCCACCCUGGAAGUUCCGAUCUUUUGGUUCAUUCAUACUGAUCCAUUGUUACUGGACAAACAUUAUCAGGCCAAGGCGCUUUCUGAUAUGGCUAUUGUUGUCCAAUCAGAGUCCUCAUCCUGGGAGAGCCAUCUGCAGUGUAAUGGAAAAUCACUUUUGUGGGAUUUAAGGAGGCCCGUCAAACCUGCUUUGGCUGCUGUUUCUGAACAUCUGGCUGGUUUGCUUCCCCUUCAUUUUGUCUACAGUCAUGCCCAUGAAACUGCAAUUGAGGUUUGCCAGUUUUAUAUGAUUGGAUAUGGUCGGUGGGUUGCAACCCUUUCUCCAUUACUUCUCAAGGUUGGCACAUAUCAAAAUUUCAAUCAGAUGCGAUGGCUCGGAGCUACAUCAUCACAACUCUUGAGGAGUCGAUACAACUGGUCAAUUCAGCCAUUCACCUUCUACUCUGGGAGCGUACAACUGAGAAAACAUUUAAACUCUUUCAAUCCCAGGAGCGUGAGCUAGUGAACAAGUAUAAUUAUGUUGUCAGCUUGUGGAGAAGAGUUUCAACCAUUGCUGGAGAAUUGCGUUAUGUAGAUGCCAUGAGACUGCUGUAUACCUUAGAGGAAGCAACCAAAGGGUUUGUUGAUCAAGUCAAUGCAACCAUAUCCCUUCUUCACCCGAUUCAUUGCACAAAAGAGAGAAAAGUACAUGUGGAGUUUGAUGUGACAACAAUUCCUGCUUUCUUGAUUGUUCUUGGUGUUCUAUAUAUUGUGCUAAAGCCAAGGCGACCAAAACCUAAAAUCAACUGAGCUAAAAUGUAGCUGAUGUCAUGGUCGCAAAAUAGUAGCAGCAAUUGUCUCAAAGCUUGUUGUAGAUUUCUAAUGAAGAACAAAAGUUUUCCCCUGAUAAUCACACAUAGUUUGAUGUACACAGGUUAUCAUUCGCCAUAGCAAAGCUGUUAGAAAUGAUAGUUGAUCAGAGAAAGAAUAGAAAUGAGAAAGUGGCAAAAUGGUGAGCACACCAAAAGCAUAUAGCUGCAGUUGCUUCUCAGUUUUUUGUAUUGUUCUUUUCAUUAAACCUAGAAUAUUGAUCUAAGCAUUGUCAUUUGUAACAUGCGUAAAGAUAUUGCCAAGAGACAGCAGCUUUAUGUGUAAUACUCAUUUGUCACUGGUGAGGUAUCAAAACUGAAAAAUUUUCCAAGCUUU
Theobroma cacao (cacao) is the source of this 3382-nucleotide non-coding RNA. Lineage: Eukaryota; Viridiplantae; Streptophyta; Magnoliopsida; Malvales; Malvaceae. The record is from RefSeq and is a predicted model, not a curated record.